UAAUAGAUUUGUUAGGCGAGGCUUCUACACAAACACAGGGUACUGCCCAGAAACGUCGAGAGACGCCAAUGGGUAGAACAUGAAUAGUCGACAUAAGGCUUUUCUGAAUGUACCUAAAAAUUAUUACGAUAAUUUUUUACGUUGUAUAGUGCUAAAACUCAACGAUUAAUCAUGAUU
This 177-nucleotide small RNA is filed under the name Vagococcus lutrae. Its description in RNAcentral is "Magnesium sequence". It matches the Rfam family "M-box riboswitch aptamer (ykoK leader)". From Rfam's summary of the family: M-box riboswitch, also know as ykoK leader is described as a metaloregulatory RNA that sense divalent metals and function as a genetic control element of genes related to divalent metal transport in bacteria. It was first reported upstream of the B.subtilis ykoK gene and genes with related functions in other bacteria. Phylogenetic analysis of the distribution of M-box RNAs across bacterial genomes revealed that M-box riboswitches are most often employed for the regulation of Mg2+ transporter genes The record is from RNAcentral. Lineage: Bacteria; Bacillati; Bacillota; Bacilli; Lactobacillales; Enterococcaceae. RNAcentral also lists the same sequence under 1 other name.